Molecule: long non-coding RNA, 240 nt
Organism: Triticum dicoccoides
Lineage: Eukaryota; Viridiplantae; Streptophyta; Magnoliopsida; Poales; Poaceae
Exons: 3
Source: RefSeq, a predicted model, not a curated record
GAGCGCCAGCAGUAGGCACUCGAUGCGGCGCUCCCCCCGUCACUCCUCCUUCUACGUCCGCUGCAGGAGACGAACAUGCUGUGUUGGGAUGGAGGAGAAGGGCAUGGGGAUGUUAGUCACCAGUGACGAGCCUGCCCAGAUCUACUUCUCCACAGAGGCUUGACGUACAUAUCCAUGACUACUUGCUCAAGUGAAAUAUCAAAAUUGCCAACAUGUUCCUGGUAGAGGGGGAGAUGCUUC